GCACAGAGAGCUUGCUCUCGGGUGACGAGCGGCGGACGGGUGAGUAAUGUCUGGGAAACUGCCUGAUGGAGGGGGAUAACUACUGGAAACGGUAGCUAAUACCGCAUAAYGUCGCAAGACCAAAGUGGGGGACCUUCGGGCCUCAUGCCAUCAGAUGUGCCCAGAUGGGAUUAGCUAGUAGGUGGGGUAACGGCUCACCUAGGCGACGAUCCCUAGCUGGUCUGAGAGGAUGACCAGCCACACUGGAACUGAGACACGGUCCAGACUCCUACGGGAGGCAGCAGUGGGGAAUAUUGCACAAUGGGCGCAAGCCUGAUGCAGCCAUGCCGCGUGUGUGAAGAAGGCCUUCGGGUUGUAAAGCACUUUCAGCGGGGAGGAAGGCGWUGAGGUUAAUAACCUYGKCGAUUGACGUUACCCGCAGAAGAAGCACCGGCUAACUCCGUGCCAGCAGCCGCGGUAAUACGGAGGGUGCAAGCGUUAAUCGGAAUUACUGGGCGUAAAGCGCACGCAGGCGGUCUGUCAAGUCGGAUGUGAAAUCCCCGGGCUCAACCUGGGAACUGCAUUCGAAACUGGCAGGCUAGAGUCUUGUAGAGGGGGGUAGAAUUCCAGGUGUAGCGGUGAAAUGCGUAGAGAUCUGGAGGAAUACCGGUGGCGAAG
RNAcentral lists this ribosomal RNA (657 nucleotides) under Klebsiella sp. C2b. RNAcentral describes it as "bacterial SSU rRNA". It matches the Rfam family "Bacterial small subunit ribosomal RNA", at positions 69 to 720 of the family's 1533-position model. The record is from RNAcentral. Lineage: Bacteria; Pseudomonadati; Pseudomonadota; Gammaproteobacteria; Enterobacterales; Enterobacteriaceae.